CCUACGGGCGGCUGCAGUGAGGAAUAUUGGUCAAUGGGCGCGAGCCUGAACCAGCCAAGUAGCGUGAAGGAUGACUGCCCUACGGGUUGUAAACUUCUUUUAUAAAGGGAUAAAGUGAGGCUCGUGUGCCUUUUUGUAUGUACUUUAUGAAUAAGCAUCGGCUAACUCCGUGCCAGCAGCCGCGGUAAUACGGAGGAUUCGAGCGUUAUCCGGAUUUAUUGGGGUUAAAGGGAGCGUAGGUGGGAUGUUAAGUCAGGUGUGAAAGUUUGGGGCUCAACCGGAACAGUGCCAUUGAUACUGGCAGGCUUGAGUAGACGUGAGGUAUGCGGAAUGCGGGGGGUAGCGGUGAAAUGCUUAGAUAUCACGAAGAACUCCGAGUGCGAAAGCAGCAUAC
RNAcentral lists this ribosomal RNA (394 nucleotides) under uncultured bacterium. RNAcentral describes it as "partial 16S ribosomal RNA". It matches the Rfam family "Bacterial small subunit ribosomal RNA", at positions 338 to 729 of the family's 1533-position model. The record is from RNAcentral.